AAGAUCGUCGCCAAAUUCCGCCAUCAUCUCCACCUUCGCAGAUCAUCCCAUGAAUUGCAACAGGUUCUGGUUUCCUACCUUACUAAUGCUGCAAUUUAGUUAUCCCUAUCCGAAAAAAAAAAAAAAAAAUGUUCCUAUAUUGCUGCAUAAACUUUUUGUCACAAAGUUUUCUUCUUUACAACGAAAGAUACAUUGUAUAAUUUCAGCCGCAUAACACUAUUUGUUUGAUCUUGAUACUAUAUUUUCUCUGUCAUAUAAACUAAGAUAUUACUGUCAAUUCCCUCCUCAAAUCUCUCGAAUUUUUGGUGGAGAUUUCGUCGAGAAACCGCUGUUUCUUCGACGAUAAUUCUGCUCUUACAAGACAACACAAUUCUGCAG
Molecule: long non-coding RNA, 378 nt
Filed under: Musa acuminata (dwarf banana)
Lineage: Eukaryota; Viridiplantae; Streptophyta; Magnoliopsida; Zingiberales; Musaceae
Description: long non-coding RNA (MACU_LNC010591)
Source: RNAcentral